CCCGCUGAACUUAAGCAUAUUAGUGAGCGGAGGAAAAGAAAACAAGGGUGAUCUGGUUAGUAACGGCGAGUGAAGAGCAGUCAGCACGGGGUAGAAGUUUGUUUUUGUUUGGAACGAACAGUGUUACUUUUAUUUUUAAAUUAUUUUCAUUUAAAGUUGUCUGGAAAGGCACACACAUAGAGAGUGAUAGGCUCGUGAUUUGAAGAAGUUUAUAUAAAAAAAAAGAGUAGAUUGUCUUGGGAAUGGCAGUUGAAGAAGUGAGCGUGGUAGAUAGGACGUGAUGCUAUUAUAAGGUUAUGAAACCGAUAGUGGACAAGUACCGUGAGGGAAAGAUGAAAACGAUUCUUUUUUAGAAAGUUCAAAGGAGGUGAAAAAGCGGUGGCUGAAGGGGAUUGAUUGACCCACCCGUCUUGAAACACGG
Molecule: ribosomal RNA, 421 nt
Filed under: uncultured fungus
Lineage: Eukaryota; Fungi
Description: partial 28S ribosomal RNA
Rfam family: Eukaryotic large subunit ribosomal RNA
Source: RNAcentral